Molecule: unclassified non-coding RNA, 160 nt
Filed under: uncultured fungus
Lineage: Eukaryota; Fungi
Description: sequence contains ITS1
Rfam family: 5.8S ribosomal RNA (bases 1-79)
Source: RNAcentral
GAAAUGCGAUAAGUAAUGUGAAUUGCAGAAUUCAGUGAAUCAUCGAAUCUUUGAACACGUUGUUGUUGUUUGAAAGCCUGGUGGUUCUGCUUCAAAAGUUCGAGUAACGCCGAACAAAAAUCUCAAUCUCAAAUCAGGUAGGAUUACCCGCUGAACUUAA